This 254-nucleotide ribosomal RNA is filed under the name uncultured bacterium. RNAcentral describes it as "partial 16S ribosomal RNA". It matches the Rfam family "Bacterial small subunit ribosomal RNA", at positions 524 to 776 of the family's 1533-position model. The record is from RNAcentral.
UACAGAGGUCUCAAGCGUUGUUCGGAUUCAUUGGGCGUAAAGGGUGCGUAGGCGGCGCGGUAAGUCGGGUGUGAAAUUUCGAGGCUUAACUUCGAAACUGCAUUCGAUACUGCCGUGCUUGAGGACUGGAGAGGAGACUGGAAUUUACGGUGUAGCGGUGAAAUGCGUAGAUAUCGUAAGGAAGACCAGUGGCGAAGGCGGGUCUCUGGACAGUUCCUGACGCUGAGGCACGAAGGCCAGGGGGAGCAAACGGG